This is a long non-coding RNA of Drosophila gunungcola (fruit fly), 756 nucleotides long. RefSeq lists it as uncharacterized. The record is from RefSeq and is a predicted model, not a curated record. NCBI's taxonomy places the organism in Eukaryota, Metazoa, Arthropoda, Insecta, Diptera, Drosophilidae. The transcript is spliced from 3 exons.
CGAUAACAUUGAGUUGGAAAUAGUUAUUCGAGUAAUACUUACUUUUAUUGAAUUUUCCUUAAAGUAAUCUGUUAUAAGUACGUAAAAAUAAAUAUUCUGUAAGUUUUCCCUUUAUAAAAAAUAUGAAUUUGGGCUACUGCAAGGAUGAAAGGAAUUAUCCGUAGGGCUGAAGAACGAAUAGCAACAGCUGCCGCAUUGACGUUGCUUAAAGUGCAAAUGCAAUUUAUUUGCAACAAGCACUUGGUGCACAUGCAACAAUGGCUGGCCAGGAAUCGAGAUUGGAAGAGCUGUGGAACAAUUUGCCCAUAAUUUCCGCAACUCAGCCGUUCCUCCGACUCCUACACAACACGACCCUAUCCUUUCUAUAUUCCAUUCUCCUUCAGACUGGGGACAUUAGAGUUUGUUAAGUGACGGGCAGAACUGAAGUCUGGCACAAGGACAACGGCUAUGCCGCUCCUGCAUACCUGAAAAUCACUCGGCCAGGACCAAGUUGAAUCUUAGCAAGAUGCAACGUUGGAAAUUCGCAACACACUCACUCGCUCGAAGAAUGCCAGUCAACGUUGACAAUCGACUUUUAUUGCUGUUGAAAAGGACCAGUGGCAACGCAAAAAAACAAGAGAUCGGAAAUAUCUGAAACGAGUCGAAAAAGAAACGCAUGGAUUCACUGAAAAAAAUAAGUCCUUAGUUCCUCAAGAGGAGAGGUGUUCUUGCGGUUUAAGGAGAAUUUUUGAAACGUUUUUUCAUGAAGAAUAUUGU